Coffea arabica (coffee) is the source of this 779-nucleotide non-coding RNA. The record is from RefSeq and is a predicted model, not a curated record. NCBI's taxonomy places the organism in Eukaryota, Viridiplantae, Streptophyta, Magnoliopsida, Gentianales, Rubiaceae.
GGGAUUCAUGUUUGUCGAGCUACAGGGCAGGAGCUGAUGGAUACAUCUUCAAGAAUUUCUAAAAUCAGGAGCCACAAACGUGAGAGACUCCGUGGCCCCCCUUGGCUGAAGGUUCUGAAGGUGCUUUCGGCCUCUUCUGAAGCAGAUUAUGCUAAUCUAAACUCAAAGCUGUCAAGUCCUCCAUCUCUUUGUAGAUCUGAUAUUUGAUUAAUUUCAGUUCUACAGGCAUAUUCUGGAGGCUUGAGUGUGUCCUUGACAGGGUCAGAUGGCAGAGUCUUGGGUGGCAGAGUUGCAGGAAUGCUUAUGGCUGCUACACCUGCACAGGUACUGUUUUAUUCUUCUUUCUGUUAGUGGUACGUGUGCGUAGUUCUGGCUAUACUAUCUGUUUGUCUCUUGCAUGUGGUUGUUGGUAGCUUCGUUGCAAAUGGGAAAAAGCCAAAAGGAUCAACUGCUGCAGCAACCCCAAGCUUGUUGAGUUUUGGUAAUCCAGUUAUAGGAGGCAGUCCUCCCUCCCAGGGUGCAUCCAGUGAUUCAUCAGAUGACAAUUGGUAGUCCACUUAAUCGUAGCUCAGGGCCUUACAAUAAUGCCCAAACAAUCCAGAACAUUCCAAUGUACACGAACAUGUGCUGGCCAAACUCCACUCUCAAGAUGCAUCCAAAUUGACAUCAUAUUUCUUGGUUCUUGACUUGUAUAGUUGAUGCACCAAGGUUAGGGGUUGACUAAAAUGCUAAUAGGCAGAUUAUAGGGCUUUUUGUUUUCCUUUACGAGCGCAAUCAUA